AAGUCGUAACAAGGUUUCCGUAGGUGAACCUGCGGAAGGAUCAUUAAAUAAUUUAGAUGGCCUUCUAGAACUUGUUCUAGUUAGGUUCAUUCUUUUUUACUGUGAACUGUUUUAAUUUUCAGCGUUUGAGGAAUGUCUUUUAGUCAUAGGGAUAGACUACUAGAAUGUUAACCGAGCUGAAGUCAGGUUUAGACCUGGUAUCCUAUUAAUUAUUUACCAAAAGAAUUCAGUAUUAUUAUUGUAACAUAAGGGUAAAAAACUUAUAAAACAACUUUUAACAACGGAUCUCUUGGUUCUC
RNAcentral lists this unclassified non-coding RNA (298 nucleotides) under Mucor hiemalis. RNAcentral's name for it is "partial internal transcribed spacer region". The stretch from base 1 to 46 matches the Rfam family "Eukaryotic small subunit ribosomal RNA", at positions 1786 to 1831 of the family's 1831-position model. The record is from RNAcentral. Lineage: Eukaryota; Fungi; Mucoromycota; Mucoromycetes; Mucorales; Mucoraceae.